GCUGGUGUGGUGGAAUUGGCAGACACAUUGGGUUUAAGCCCCAAUUGCAUAUAGCAGUACGAGUUCAAAUCUCGUCACCAGCA
Molecule: transfer RNA, 83 nt
Filed under: Caudoviricetes sp.
Lineage: Duplodnaviria; Heunggongvirae; Uroviricota; Caudoviricetes
Description: tRNA-Leu
Rfam family: tRNA
About the family: Transfer RNA (tRNA) molecules are approximately 80 nucleotides in length.
Source: RNAcentral